This 65-nucleotide transfer RNA is filed under the name Cryptolestes ferrugineus. Its description in RNAcentral is "tRNA-Tyr". The record is from RNAcentral. Lineage: Eukaryota; Metazoa; Arthropoda; Insecta; Coleoptera; Laemophloeidae.
GGUAAAAUGGCCGAGAUUAGGCGAUAAAUUGUAAAUUUAUUUACGAAAAAUAAUUUCUUUUACCA